RNAcentral lists this ribosomal RNA (496 nucleotides) under uncultured bacterium. RNAcentral's name for it is "partial 16S ribosomal RNA". It matches the Rfam family "Bacterial small subunit ribosomal RNA", at positions 29 to 507 of the family's 1533-position model. The record is from RNAcentral.
AUGAACGCUGGCGGCGUGCCUAAUACAUGCAAGUCGAGCGAACAGAUGAGGAGCUUGCUCCUCUGACGUUAGCGGCGGACGGGUGAGUAACACGUGGAUAACCUACCUAUAGGACUGGGAUAACUUCGGGAAACCGGAGCUAAUACCGGAUAAUAUAUUGAACCGCAUGGUUCAAUAGUGAAAGACGGUUUUGCUGUCACUUAUAGAUGGAUCCGCGCCGCAUUAGCUAGUUGGUAAGGUAACGGCUUACCAAGGCAACGAUGCGUAGCCGACCUGAGAGGGUGAUCGGCCACACUGGAACUGAGACACGGUCCAGACUCCUACGGGAGGCAGCAGUAGGGAAUCUUCCGCAAUGGGCGAAAGCCUGACGGAGCAACGCCGCGUGAGUGAUGAAGGUCUUCGGAUCGUAAAACUCUGUUAUUAGGGAAGAACAAAUGUGUAAGUAACUAUGCACGUCUUGACGGUACCUAAUCAGAAAGCCACGGCUAACUACGUG